CGUCCCCCACCAGGCCCCCAUACUUUCCUCCCAUGGGUUUCCUAUGGAAUGUUGCUGCCUCAACUUCUGAGAGCCUCUUGCCGGGGGCCCCAUCCCUAGCCCUUGCCUCCCUGUGCUGCUUUACCUUCUUUUUGGGAGGAUAACUGCCCUCUGUUUUCAGCACCCCAAUGAGAAAGAAAAAGUCAUGACCAGAAGUCAGUGUCAGUGAUUGCUGAUGUGUGGAACCAUCUGAUGAAUGAGGAGUUUAGGUAAAAAAUAAAGGGAACUGAUGAAAACCA
This 278-nucleotide long non-coding RNA is filed under the name Pongo abelii (Sumatran orangutan). RNAcentral's name for it is "lincRNA". The record is from RNAcentral. Lineage: Eukaryota; Metazoa; Chordata; Mammalia; Primates; Hominidae.